Molecule: non-coding RNA, 786 nt
Filed under: Rhagophthalmus lufengensis
Lineage: Eukaryota; Metazoa; Arthropoda; Insecta; Coleoptera; Rhagophthalmidae
Source: RNAcentral
CAAUUUUUGAGUUGUUAUUUUUAAUUUUUUAACUAAAGUUUUAUUUUAGCUUUAGAUUUUAGUUAAUUUUUUUUAUAUAUGUAAAUUUUUUUUAUAUAAUUUUAUUUGCAGUAUUUAUUAUUAAAAAUUUAGUUAUUUAAGAUUUAGAAAUUGAUUUUAGUUUUAAUAAAUUUUGUGCCAGCAAUUGCGGUUAUACAAAUAAAUACAAUUAAAAUUUUUUGGUUAGUAAUUAAUUUUAAUUUAAUAUAAUUUUAUUUUUUUAUUUUAAGGUGAAAUUUAAAUUUUUAUUUUAUUUUUUAUUAUUUUAUUUAAGGUUAUUGAAUUUAAAUUAUAAACUAGGAUUAGAUACCCUAUUAUUUUAAUUAUAUUUUUUUUACCUGAUUAUUAAUAGAUAUGUUCUUUAAAAUUAAAAAAUUUGGCGGUAUUUUAGUCUGUUCAGAGGAACCUGUUCUAUAAUUGAUAAUCCACGAUUUGAUUAACUUUUUUUAAUGUUUGUAUAUCGUUGUUUAUUUGAAAAUUUUAUAAGAAUUAUUAAUUUUCGAUUUUUAAUUUAAUAAUUGAUUUCAGAUCAAGGUGCAGUUUAUAAAAAAGUAGAAAUGGGUUACAUUAAAUUUAUUUAUGGUUUUUUUAUUUUAAUAUAAAAAUUAAAUUGGAUUUGAAAGUAAUAUUUUUAAAUUAAUAAUUAUGAUUUUAGCUCUAUAAUAUGCACAUAUUGCCCGUCGCUUUCAAUUAAAUUGAAAAAAGUCGUAACAAAGUAGAUGUACUGGAAAGUGUAUCUAGAAAGAU